RNAcentral lists this ribosomal RNA (1320 nucleotides) under Salmonella enterica subsp. enterica serovar Enteritidis. RNAcentral describes it as "partial 23S ribosomal RNA". It matches the Rfam family "Bacterial large subunit ribosomal RNA", at positions 1640 to 2925 of the family's 2925-position model. The record is from RNAcentral. Lineage: Bacteria; Pseudomonadati; Pseudomonadota; Gammaproteobacteria; Enterobacterales; Enterobacteriaceae.
AAUCGUACCCCAAACCGACACAGGUGGUCAGGUAGAGAAUACCAAGGCGCUUGAGAGAACUCGGGUGAAGGAACUAGGCAAAAUGGUGCCGUAACUUCGGGAGAAGGCACGCUGACACGUAGGUGAAGUGAUUUACUCAUGGAGCUGAAGUCAGUCGAAGAUACCAGCUGGCUGCAACUGUUUAUUAAAAACACAGCACUGUGCAAACACGAAAGUGGACGUAUACGGUGUGACGCCUGCCCGGUGCCGGAAGGUUAAUUGAUGGGGUCAGCGCAAGCGAAGCUCCUGAUCGAAGCCCCGGUAAACGGCGGCCGUAACUAUAACGGUCCUAAGGUAGCGAAAUUCCUUGUCGGGUAAGUUCCGACCUGCACGAAUGGCGUAAUGAUGGCCAGGCUGUCUCCACCCGAGACUCAGUGAAAUUGAACUCGCUGUGAAGAUGCAGUGUACCCGCGGCAAGACGGAAAGACCCCGUGAACCUUUACUAUAGCUUGACACUGAACAUUGAGCCUUGAUGUGUAGGAUAGGUGGGAGGCUUUGAAGUGUGGACGCCAGUCUGCAUGGAGCCGACCUUGAAAUACCACCCUUUAAUGUUUGAUGUUCUAACGUGGACCCGUUACCCGGGUUGCGGACAGUGUCUGGUGGGUAGUUUGACUGGGGCGGUCUCCUCCUAAAGAGUAACGGAGGAGCACGAAGGUUGGCUAAUCCUGGUCGGACAUCAGGAGGUUAGUGCAAUGGCAUAAGCCAGCUUGACUGCGAGCGUGACGGCGCGAGCAGGUGCGAAAGCAGGUCAUAGUGAUCCGGUGGUUCUGAAUGGAAGGGCCAUCGCUCAACGGAUAAAAGGUACUCCGGGGAUAACAGGCUGAUACCGCCCAAGAGUUCAUAUCGACGGCGGUGUUUGGCACCUCGAUGUCGGCUCAUCACAUCCUGGGGCUGAAGUAGGUCCCAAGGGUAUGGCUGUUCGCCAUUUAAAGUGGUACGCGAGCUGGGUUUAGAACGUCGUGAGACAGUUCGGUCCCUAUCUGCCGUGGGCGCUGGAGAACUGAGGGGGGCUGCUCCUAGUACGAGAGGACCGGAGUGGACGCAUCACUGGUGUUCGGGUUGUCAUGCCAAUGGCACUGCCCGGUAGCUAAAUGCGGAAGAGAUAAGUGCUGAAAGCAUCUAAGCACGAAACUUGCCCCGAGAUGAGUUCUCCCUGAGACUUAGAGUCUCCUGAAGGAACGUUGAAGACGACGACGUUGAUAGGCCGGGUGUGUAAGCGCAGCGAUGCGUUGAGCUAACCGGUACUAAUGAACCGUGAGGCUUAACCUUACAACGCCGAAG